Molecule: non-coding RNA, 9040 nt
Organism: Podarcis lilfordi (Lilford's wall lizard)
Lineage: Eukaryota; Metazoa; Chordata; Lepidosauria; Squamata; Lacertidae
Source: the annotation of a GenBank genome assembly
GGAAGGGAUUGUAGCUCAGUGGUAGAAGGUUCAAAAGCAUCAGGUAGCAGGUUAUGUGAAAGUCUCUCUCUGCCGCAAACCUGCUACAAGUCAGAGACUAGAUAAUAUUGAUUGACAAAUCAUCUGGCCUGGUGUACAGCAGUUUCCUAUGGGUUGCAUCCAACUAAGUUUUGCCCAGAGUGAUUUAGUCAUGUCCAUGAAUUUCAGAGGGUCUUCUCUGAGAAUGACUAAUCCUCAAUACAAUCCCAUGUUUCAAAGAGCUAGGUUCAUUGUUUGCUAUAUUAAACAACUUAAAUAGUGCCUACAUGCCAUGGGAUUUUGAAUGACAUCAUGUUAGUGCAAAUACACUCUCCGGGCCUUAGGUGUUGAUGUUGCUCACAGGAUACUGAAGAAGAAUCUUUCUCUAAUGCCAAUCAACUCUCUAAUGCAUGUUUGAUUGAGUGAUGUCUCUGUAUUAGGGAAGAGGCAGCUCCUCCAGUUUUUCUUGGCACUGCUUCAUUAGUAACUGCAAAGCAGUUUGCACGAAACAAGUCUGGAAAAGACUAGCAAUAAGGAUUUCAAUAUGUAUCAUUGAAUCCUGAAGCAUUUUACCCAUCUAGCUACAUACUCAUUAUUAGAGCCUCAUAUUUUUUGCACCCAAAAGGGAUAGGCUAGAAAUUCUUUUUUCUUUUCUUAAACACACAUAAGGAAUGAAUAGAAAGGGGAUAAAUGAGCUGUAACGAUUGCUGAAGUGGUCCAGAUUAAGCCAGCAGUGCCAAGAUGAAUUACACCUGUCAAGAAGCCAAUAGGAAGUGUGUCAUUUUUCCAUCAACCAAACGCUGGCUGAAAAUGUGAGUUCUUAUUUCUCAGUCUAUUAUCAGCAUGUGUUUAUGGCAAGCACUUGUAUUGACCUAGAGCUGCAUCACAAGAAGACAGGAAUAUAAAAAGGAACGGAACUUUGUGGAAGACAGUUUGACUUCAGACAGGGGUUAAAAUACCAGGCUGACAUAACACAUUUCCUUUGGGAAUGAUCAAAAAUCCUUUUGAACCAAUCUGGGGGAAAGGAAUGGGCAGAGUGGGGUCAGGACUUGUUCCACAUCUGCCACUGUGCGUAUGUGAAAAUAAAAGUGUGGGCAGAGGGAUAAAAUGGAGCUUUUGUGGUAUAAAACGUUGUUGGAUUUCAGCUGGAAGCUACCAGCCAUGUGCUGAUUGGAAACAAAGUAGUAUGUCAACCCCAAAUUUUUUACAGGCACAAAGAGACUCAUGUACAGUGGUACCUCGGGUUACAUACACUUCAGGUUACAGACUCUGCUAACCCAGAAAUAGUGCUUCAGGUUAAGAACUUUGCUUCAGGAUAAGAACAGAAAUCAUGCUCCGGCGGCGCGGCGGCAGUGGGAGGCCCCAUUAGCUAAAAUGGUGCUUCAGGUUAAUAACAGUUUCAGGUUAAGAACGGACCUCUGGAACGAAUUAAGUACUUAACCCGAGGUACCACUGUAUAACCCCACAAUGCCACCAUGAGCCCAAACAAUCAGGAAGAAACAAUAGAAAUGAUGUUGGGAGGGGCCCUGAAUCCAUUCACACACUUGAUACAUUCUAGCUCAAAAGCAUAUUGCUAUGCUAUGCUGAUUGAACAAAAUAUAAGAACAAAGGAAGGUUUCAGGCAGAAAUACCUAAAAAUCAAUAAGGAAUCAUUCUGGUUUGGAGGAGGACUCAUGAGUCAUCUGGCUUGCUCUCUUCUCCCCAGGUCAACUUCAAGAGAAUCCAUUUCUGCUAGUUUGUUAUAGGAGUUGGAUGUACACUCCACUGAUUGGCUGGAAGCUUAUGAUGACAUAAAUCCAUCAUUCUUUAAAACAGUUCAUCAACUCUAGAAACAUGACUGUUGUUUUUUUUAAGGCACAAAGUCAGCAGUUAAAUAAGUAUAGGUGUGCAAACAGUGCUUUAAACCAAACAAACUAGCAGAAAACCAGUUUGAAAUGCAGGAGGAGGAACAAAACUAAAGAAGAAAGCUACAUUUGAUGUGGAGGGCAGGAUAGGUAUAAUCUGCAAUGGAAAUUCAGAGUGGAGAAAAUGAGCUCUCCCACUGAGCCAAAAAGACAACUUUGCUGGCUCCUUUUUUAAUUUAAUUUAUUGUAUUUAUUAAAUUUGCAUAUCACCCUUCAUCCAAAGAUCACAGGGUGCUCCCCAACAUAAAAAUAUAAAAUGAGAACACAAAAUGCAUAACAAAACAAAAGCAAACCAAUAAGCCCCCCAAAAACAUAUUUAAAGGGCCAUAGAAUGUUAAUUAGCCAAUGGACUGGUUAUAGAGAAAGAGUUUCACCAGGCACCUAAAGAUAUAUAAUGAAGGUGCCAGGCAAGCCUCCUUGGGGAGAGCAUUCCACAAAUGGGGAGCCAAUGAAGAAAAGGCCUGUUCUCAUGUUGCCACCCUCUGGACCUCUUGGGGAGGAAGCACAUGAAGAAGGGCUUCAGAUUAUGAUUGAAGGGUUUGGAUUGGUUGUUAAGCUACCUUUGCAAUCCCCCAUGUUAGGUAAUAGAAGAUCCUUAUAUGGUGAGUAAAAAGUAUUAACCACUACAGUGGUACCUCGGGUUAUAUACGCUUCAAGUUACAUAUGCUUCAGGUUACAGACUCCGCUAACCCAGAAAUAUUACCUCGGGUUAAGAACUUUGCUUCAGGAUGAGAACAGAAAUCGUGCUCCGGCAGUGCAGCGGCAGCAGGAGGCCCCAUUAGCUAAAGUGGUGCUUCAGGUUAAGAACAAUUUCAGGUUAAGAAUGGACCUCCGGAACGAAUUAAGUACUUAACCCGAGGUACCACUGUAUUCUCUCUCUCUCUCUUGGCAACCAGAGAACUAAAUUUCUUCCUUUGCUUUUUCUUGUUUGGCUUCUUGGUGCAUAUUUUCACAUUUCAUUCUCUCCUCCUCCAGCCCCUCUUUACAGUCGAAAAUUAGGAGAAAAACCUCAGAGGUAGCAAGAGAGCUGCCUCUCUUGAGAAACCUUGAAGUGUCAUUAGUUGCCAUGCAAAUCUUACAUGUCACUUGACAAAGUCUUUGAAGACACUCGUGUUCAACAUCCGUUUUUACAACAGCAAUUAAGAGGAAUAAAAAAAGACACAGAGUUGCAGUCCUUUCCAACUGGGCUUCCUUCCAGGUGUAUGGCAGCCCUUGCUCUUCAAAUCACUGCUAAUCAGCCACACUUCAUCACAGGGAUCUUGGCACAUCAAAUCUCCCUUUCUAUUAGAAUUCAAGCUGAUGGGAAAGGUCACUUCAGUAAAGAUCACUGCAAGAUAAAAUCUUGCCUUAAGUAAGGGCACAUACACAUGGGUGGUUUAAAACUCAGAGAGGUCUUUCUCCCCUGCUAUGCUUCAAGUUAUGUUUUGCAUUGCUGAACACACUAUUGCCUGAUUACCUGUAUUGCUUCCCUGCACAUUACCUGAUCUGUUUUCCCUGUGCCGUCAAUUGCCCCCUGCAAUGAAGUUGUCACCUGCACAUGCCCAAUGGAUGUCUGAAAUAUUCACAUCUCAGCUAAACUGUGGUUUAUGUUUUCACAUCUGAUGGAAGCUGGUUUGAGGGAAAACACAUCCAACAGCAGUGUUUCUCAAAAAAUUACAGGAUACAUAUGGAUUGUGGCUAACGUCAUGUACGCUCGGCUUCAAACGCCAGUGGUGGGAAAGCACUGGAGACAGAGUAAUGUGUACACAGCCUAAAAAUAGGGUUGAGCUAAUCAAGGGAAGGACACUUUUUGCCUCAGCUGGAUAAUUGCUGAGGGGAUUCUCCCUUUCUGAAAGCAACUAUAGAAUAUGCAGAGUAGCUAACUGCUAAAGAAGGAUUUGGGGGAGGGGAUUUAAAUCAAAAGAUGAAAUAUGUAUUUGAAUAGUCUGAGUCCGGGUUAUUUUGCAGCAAAGGUGGGGAACUUGUAGUCCAGCAACAACUGGAAGGCCACAACUCCCAUCACCCUUCACCACCAGGGAUGCUAGCUGGGGUUGAUGGGAGUCAGAGUACUACAACAUCUGGUUCGUCAGAGGUUCCCGUUCCCUGUUCAUUAUGGCUGAACAUAGGCAGUGGCCUUGUCCAGGGACUGUUGGAACUCACCCACGAUCACACAGUAACCUAACUCUGCCUAUAUAUUUAAUCUUGAGGUUUGUUAUGGCUAUUUGAAUGACCUGAUACAAAAGUCACAGAGGCAGGAUUUCCUUCUCUCAUCUGUCUUCUUUGUGCACCCUCCUCCUCAAGAAAGCUGUUUUUGUAGUGCGUAACUAUUAAUGGAAAUCUCAGGUGUUGCUGUCUCAAACUUUCAAAACACAUUUCUGCUAGAGAAAAUGGAAGAGAGUGAGAAUGGUGGAAUAACUGUUUAUACACUAUGCCAAAAGUAACUCAAGGGAGGAGAGGACUUGGGUAUAAAUUUACUGGCGAGGGAUUAACUGGAUCUUUUGUAUCCAUUUCUGGUGUUGCCACUGCUAGGAUCGGUUUGCAUACAUCUCACAUUAAUGUUCUAGGAACACUGGAAGUUGCAUUUCAUCUGCUCCUGCAUGGCAGAAGAGUCUCCUUUUGCAUGUGGGCAGCUUUAAAGAAUUAAGAGAGGUAAUAAUAAUAAUAAUAAUAAUAAUAAUAAUAAUAAUAAUAAUAAAUUAUUAUUUAUACCCCGCCCAUCUAGCUGGGCUUCCCCAGCCACUCUGGGAGGCUUCCCAAAAAAUAUUUAAAUACUGUAAUACAUCAAACAUCAGAAGCUUCCCUAAACAGGGCUGCAUUCAGAUGUCUUCUAAAAGUCUGGUAGUUGUUGUUCUCUGGUAGAUGGGGAGUGAAGUCCCACAGGGGUGUGUAUAUGUCUGGUGGUUCUGGUGUGGUGGUAGCCACAGCGCAGGAAAGGUGGGGAAAAUGAGUGAACAUGAACUGGGAGGAUUUUCUAAGGCAACAAGAGGGCCAAAAAAAAGGGCUUUCAAUUCUGCGUGUUCUUUUAAAGGGCCCUCUGAUUCUGAGAGGCCCCCCAAGCCUGGUAAGUCUCAUUGAACUUGAAAAGCUACAAGCUUCCUUUCUUACCCCUUUGCUUUGUUUCCUCUUAUCUCAUUCAUGUGAGGCACUAGGGCUCCUUCACCCGCCACACACACACACACAUGCACACACUGACUUGUCUUAAAACAACAUUUUAAAAGUCAGUUUGACACGUUAUAUUACAGGAGAAUGCAGAUGAAUGUUUGUGGAGAAUAUCACAUUGAUGGUUAAGAGAGAAUAUCAUUACUGAAGCAGUAAUUCAUAAUACAUGCUUGGAAUCAUUAAUCAGAGAGUAAUUAAUGGAAAGGAAAGACACCUCUCCAUUCCGGCAUUAUACAAUCAUUGAAGAAGGAAUACCUUUUUUUGUCAUUCUUGACAUGACUGGAACAUUCAUUUCCUCCUAUGGUAACUAUGAGAAACUCCAAAAGUGGUUCGAGCCAAUUUUCCACAUCUAAAUAUGCAUCUGCAGUUGAUUUAGCAUGGGUCUACUCACUGAGCCCCAAACCUUUUCCCACAGAGCAUAAAGUGGUGAGGCCUUACAGGUCUGGCCAUGCUGUUAGGCAGAGCGAGGCAGUCAUCAUGAAAGGGCAGACCCAUAUCAGUGUUGUAUUUUGCUCCAAGGGAGAUCUACAUCAUAUAUGCAAUUUAUUUACAACCCUGAAAGCAUUUGCUUUAAGAACUUACUAUCACACACACAUGUCAUAUAGAGUAUCACAAAACUGAAUGGUUUUCAGACAAAGGUGGCUUUCAGCAUCAUGUAUGGCAAUCAGGUUCAAUACCACAUUUCAAGGUCAGUCACUUUAAAUGACCAACCCUCCAUGCAGAUUAAGUGAGACUGGUGAUAAUAAUCAGCCACUGUGUUGAACUGUGCUGUCUGAAAUCACAUUGACCAACACAACAAAAUGGAAAGUUUUUCUAAAGUAAUGAUUGUAUUUUACAGCCAAAUAUCUAACGCUGGUGAUUAUGGUGAUUAUAUCAAGUCGAGGCCUGUGUUCCACUACUGGAUUUAGUGCAAUUACAACUAUGGCUACUGUUACAUGUUCUUAAUGCCCACAGAUACAGUUAUGUAUUUGUUUAGUUCCACAGUAGGCACAGUACGUGCCUUAAUUCUGCUUAAGAAUUCUGAGCCAUAGAUUCACUGACUGCUGGGUCCCCAUGUUCCUUAGUUGUAAAAUGGAACAAACAUCCUCUCAACAGAAUAAAUACAAAAGAGUGCAUAAAUCUGUUAUAUAUAUAUAUAUAUAUAUAUAUAUAUAUAUAUAUAUAUUCUGUGAGUGAUUCCAGACAGAUGUUUAUUGUGGGAUCAGUGCUCCUCGUGUAUGCAAGUUUUUCCCCAGUUUCCACAUGAUAUUGUUUUUUUGUUUGUUUUUUUAUUAUGUAUUUUGGAUUCUCAUUUCGUAUUCUUAUGUUGUGAACGACCCUGUGAUCUUUGGAUGAAGGGCAGUAAACAAAUUUAAUAAAUAAAUAAGCUGCAUUUUAUCUUUCUGGGGGAAAUCUGGUAAGUUUGAUUUUUUUAAAAACCAAAACACACAAAUCUGCUGCCAAUGAUUUGUCUGUUACAUUAAGCUACUAUCUGGAAGUGCCUUUGUUGUGUAGUGCUUGUGGAACCAUUUGCAGUUUUAGUCCCUACUGUCAGCAUGUAGCACAUCUGAAUCAGAAUUGCAUUGGUUCUUUAUUGUCCACAAACUUUACCCCUUGCCCCACCCAGUCACAUGCAGACAUGUCCCUAUUUUCAUCUGUGAAAUGUUGGAAGGUAUCCUCUUGAAAUUUCUGAGUUUCAAUAACUCGCUGAUGGGUUUUAAAAGUGGUCUGUAUUCAUGCCAACUUUAUAUCCUCCUUGUUCUGUAUUGUUCCUUUUUUUAAAAAAAAGGUGGACCAUCUAACUUUCUCUGUUUUGGUUCACAAAACCUAGGUCCUCAAAUAAUAACUCCAUUGUUUCCAGAAUCUUCCAUAUUUCAUUUGCUCCCCUUAAAAGAAUAGAUCCUCUGUAUGGCUCUUCAUAGGAAUAUACUCAAAGUACAGUGGCCAGGUUAAAAAAAAAAGAAAAAAGAAUGGGGCUCUGACAGAUGUAAUGGCUGUGUAGAAAAGAGAAUUCAUAAGGCAUAGCUAGUAGGCAUGUUGGCAUUGGGGGCAAGGCUUGGCAAAUGGGUGCAAUCAAGUUCCUCCCUCCCUUUGCAUUCACUGAAUGUAUGUAUAGGGCAUGGGUAGGCAAACUAAAGCCCGGGGGCCGGAUGUGGCCCAAUUGCCUUCUAAAUCCGGCCUGCAGACAGUCCGGGAACCAGCGUGUUUUUACAUGAGUAGAAUGUGCCCUUUUAUUUAAAAUGCAUCUCUGGGUUAUUUGUGGGGCAUAAGAAUUCGUUCAUUAUUAUUUUUUUCAAAAUAUAGUCCGGCCUCCCACAAGGUCUGAGGGACAGUGGACCGGCCCCCUGCUGAAAAAGUUUGCUGACUCCUGGUAUAGGGAGUACUUCGCUUAUCUGUUUAGCCCUUGAAAUUCCUGUUUAAACAGUCACUUGCGACCUCACAGAAAAUGACAGUGUGCCUAGAGACAGUCCAUCUUUGGUGAGAUAGAGACAUUUGAGAGAAGGAUGAAAGCUCAAUAUUCAACAGAAACAGAGGAGGUGGAUUAUGUGGGGCUUCCCAGACUGGGUGCUACAGAAUCUCAAGCAAAGGAGGUAGGUAGUAUUAUAAGACUUGAGCUAGAAUAGUUGAAGGUAAGGCUCUGAGAACCUACAGUAAGUGCCUCUCACUAAUAUCCUCGAACUUCUUAUAAAUCAUCUUGGCUUCCUUACAUGUGUUCUUAGUGUAAUGUUUGAAUCAAAACCUCUCUCUCCUCUUGCAUGUUUCGUACUUUGCAAGUGUGCUUUAACGGCGUAGCGAUCUGAGUAGGAACUGCAGUAAAUCUGCUGCUGAUAAUAACUUGAAGAUGAAACAGUCAAUCGCAGAGGAAGUCCCAGCUGACUUGUACUAAUGGCUUUGUCGUGUUAAUGGAAAAUUCUGUUUCAGAGAUGAAAGAGAGAUAUUUUAAAAGUCCUUAUGCAACACUGAAAUUGUACUGCUCAGCGCAAAAUGGGUGUAGGGACUCAAGAUAUUCUUUUAUCCACUAAAUCUCACUCUUCCUUUCUUCUUGAUUUCCUAAUGGAGCAAAAUUCUCAGAAAUAGCAUUAUAGUAAAAAAUAUGGAUUUUAUAGCCAUAAUGUGACAACUUGUGUGACUCAACUUUCCUCCCCCUCUGAUUCUCCCACCCACCACCCCAAGAAGAAAUGGAAUAAUUAGUCUCCUUAUUCAUUUACCUUCAAUAAUGCUGUGGUAGAAAAGAGAGCGAUUAGAUCAAAUACAUAUGCUGUACAGGCACUUACCCUGAUGGUUUGGCUUAAUAACAUAACUACUUAAUUACCGUCCAUCUUCAAUUAAUUUCCCCUCCUUUUACUAGACAGCCAUCAAUGGAGACCUACAAGGAGAGGAUUUUAUUUUCUGCCAGACCAGAGUGCCUGCUGUGCUAGGCCUUGCAGUCUCCGUGAGUAACAGAGCCGGGGAAAUAUUAUUGCCUUGAUGGGACUGCAGAAUUCCAUACUGAACAUGCGGAGAGUGACCAAGGAAACCUGAUGAAAUUAUUCCUAGCAUCUUGUGAAUAUUUAUAAACACAGAAUUAUUCUUGGAUCUCAGGAGAAGGCUCCACUAUCUCCUGAGAAUGAAUCGCUCUUGGUAAAUGAUGUGUAAUAAAGAUAAUGGUUUAGAUCAGUAGUGGGUAGGGCUGGAGCGAAAAUUCUAUUCAGUGUGCAUUUAAAGGUGACUCUAUCAAAUCCACCCCUUCCAAAACAAUAUGCAAACCGAAACAUAGCUAUACUUCAAAAUUCACACUUAGCUGAAUUUUGCAAUGCAGUUCCCCAAACAAACAAUGCUUAUACAAAUACACACGUUACGUGAAAGUGUGCAUAAAAUGAAUAUUUUGCUCUCACUUAAUGUAAAUGAACUGUGAAAAAGACUAUGAAUUGAAAGCGGAGACAAUGAGUGCACCUUUCCCUGUUUACCUGCUUGUUUUGUAACACCCAAAAAAUCUUUCAAAAAAACUUUUUAAAAAUACG